This 95-nucleotide non-coding RNA is filed under the name Paenibacillus tuaregi. RNAcentral's name for it is "TPP riboswitch (THI element)". It matches the Rfam family "TPP riboswitch aptamer (THI element)", at positions 7 to 92 of the family's 105-position model. From Rfam's summary of the family: Vitamin B(1) in its active form thiamin pyrophosphate (TPP) is an essential coenzyme that is synthesised by coupling of pyrimidine and thiazole moieties in bacteria. The previously detected thiamin-regulatory element, thi box was extended, resulting in a new, highly conserved RNA secondary structure, the THI element, which is widely distributed in eubacteria and also occurs in some archaea. The record is from RNAcentral. Lineage: Bacteria; Bacillati; Bacillota; Bacilli; Caryophanales; Paenibacillaceae.
CACUAGGGGGGCCAAAUUCGGCUGAGAUGGAAGCUUUAAGCAUCCGGACCCUUUGCACCUGAUCUGGGUUAUACCAGCGUAGGGAAGUGGUAAUC